GUCCGCGUAACUCAGUGGUAGAGUGGCGAUGGCCCUACCCUUGAAGUCGCGUGUUCGAACCACUCCGCGGACU
Molecule: non-coding RNA, 73 nt
Organism: Gymnopus androsaceus JB14
Lineage: Eukaryota; Fungi; Basidiomycota; Agaricomycetes; Agaricales; Omphalotaceae
Source: the annotation of a GenBank genome assembly